Molecule: ribosomal RNA, 253 nt
Filed under: uncultured bacterium
Lineage: Bacteria
Description: partial 16S ribosomal RNA
Rfam family: Bacterial small subunit ribosomal RNA
Source: RNAcentral
GACAGAGGGUGCAAACGUUGUUCGGAAUUACUGGGCGUAAAGCGCGUGUAGGCGGCUGCGUAAGUCGGGCGUGAAAUCCCAUGGCUCAACCAUGGAAGUGCACCCGAAACUGCGUAGCUAGAGUCCUGGAGAGGAAGGUGGAAUACUUGGUGUAGAGGUGAAAUUCGUAGAUAUCAGGAGGAACACCGGUGGCGAAGGCGGGUCUCUGGGCCGAUACUGACGCUGAGGAGCGAAAGCGUGGGGAGCGAACAGG